Molecule: long non-coding RNA, 1417 nt
Organism: Candoia aspera
Lineage: Eukaryota; Metazoa; Chordata; Lepidosauria; Squamata; Candoiidae
Exons: 4
Source: RefSeq, a predicted model, not a curated record
AUGGGACUGUGUUAUUUGAAGGAGCUGCUUUCCUGCCUUCGAGUUUUCUCUUCCCCUGUAGCAGGGUUUUCUUUACAGUUUUCGCACCGUGAAAGUUGAGGAUUCCAUAGACAGAGGAAAGGCAAGAGCAGGCUUGCUCAUGGGUCUACCUUCUUGUUAAAAGGCCUCCUGAAAACUGAAGCUGAUACUGUUGCAUAGAAACCCUGUGAAGGAAAAUAUCUCUUGGAUAAAAGGCCAACAAUGCAAUUCUAAACUUCCCUGGGAGUAAGCCCUAAUUAAUUCAAUGGAGCUUCUUUCUGAUAAGAUUCCUACAGCAGGAUCAGGCACUCUGGCAACGCUGACUGGGAGUGCCACAUUACCUAUGCCUGGAUUAAAGAAUCAGGGGAGUCAGGGGAGUGAUGUGCUCCCCAGCUGUACAAGCAUUCUGGAGUAGACUAGUGUUGUUCUUGAGGAAUGCAAGCUGUGCACUACCAGUUGUUCUUUCCUGCCCUUUGCAGCCACCUCAAACAAUUUAUGAAGCUCCUUGGAUGUAAGGGGAAAAAUGAAAUGUAUUAAAAUGCCAUGACUUUGUACUUUUGCAUAAUGCCGUAAAUCUUCCUUUAUGAUGUACUUAAUGCAAAUAAUAUUACAAAAUAAUGUGCAUUAUGCACAUUUCUUAGGCUGUAAACGACUCAUGACACAAAAUUAGCCCAUUCAAUUAUAGAGAGGCUUUCAAACAAGAAGCUAAUGUGGGGAGCCUAUUCCUUCCCCACUGCUUUGAACAGCACUCUGUACAGCAUGUGUUUCAGGGUGUUAUUAAUUCAGCCAUGCUGUGAACUGUGGAAGUCUCUUUCCUUUUCAGAUUUCACACACGGAACACAUUCCCCACAUUUACUGUCCAUAUUUUCAUGUUAACUACCCUGUUUCCUGUAUUUUCUUUGAGUGGAGCCAACCACAUUAAACGUGUGGCAGACAAACGCAUAGCAGGUACACCACAGACUGAGCAGAUGGUGGCCUUUCAACCAACAUGUCAUACAGUGGUGUCCUGGUAUUGUUCAUAAAGGAAGGUGGCCUCUUCUUUUGGGACAGUAUUGGUUGGCUGCUGGUUUAAAUUCCACCUGUCCUGACACCUGCAAGCACAUUUUUACUGCAUAUGAUGAUAGACGAAAUCAUGGAACAACUGAACCGUAUGAUCACAUUUAAUGGCUUCGAACUAACCAGUCAAAAUGCCACUAUUAUGUGGUGAGCACGUUUUGGAUCUAGAGAUAACAACCAAGGCAAGAGUAGUCACCAUUAUGGACGAAGAGAGUUUCUGCUGCUUAAAUCCACUUCCUGGCAUCAGCAUUUUCAGUGGUCUUGUAAGAAAGAUCAAGGAUCUAAACAAUAAAAUACUGCCUCAAUAAUUUUGGUAUCCUUGCUGCAGUCUGUCCUUCCACAU